AAAAUGGAAUGAUAUUGCCUAUAACUUAAACUCAUCUCAGGCCAGUCGCUUUUUUUUCACCAGUCUACCUAGGGUAAAUAAGUUAAAAGUCAACGACGACCACCAACUUUUCUAGCAGGGGGGGCCAUUUCCUCAUCAUCUGACUGGAUAUCUCCAUACAUCCAUAUCCCGCGCCUAUCAGCACGUGCUUCGUCCUGGAAUUUCUCCAAAUUAUCAAGGGCCACUUGUCUUUCCCUGGCGUCCCACUUCUUGCUCUUUUCUAUCCUAGCAAGUCCUUCCUGUACCAUGGCCGCAUUUACACUGAUCUCAGAAUCCACAGCAACAAGAGUUACAAUAAGAAUUGGCCCUGUUCCCUGUCCUUUAACUUUUCCCCCAGAAGUAUCCCUCUCCUCUACCUUAGCCCUAAACUCUUUUGAACUGCUUAACGUAUGAGCACUCAAAUACUCUGCCGCCUCUGGACCACAAUCCUCUUCCAAGCUUGGAACCUUAAUAUAUGCAAGACUGCACAACUGAGCAAGUCCGGGUGCCAAGGACACUGAAGGGUCAAGAGGCCGUAACUGAC
RNAcentral lists this unclassified non-coding RNA (562 nucleotides) under Hevea brasiliensis (rubber tree). The record is from RNAcentral. Lineage: Eukaryota; Viridiplantae; Streptophyta; Magnoliopsida; Malpighiales; Euphorbiaceae.